RNAcentral lists this transfer RNA (71 nucleotides) under Marmota monax (woodchuck). RNAcentral's name for it is "tRNA.Ala". The record is from RNAcentral. Lineage: Eukaryota; Metazoa; Chordata; Mammalia; Rodentia; Sciuridae.
GGGGUUGUGGCUCAGCGGUAGAGCGCUCGCCUAGCAUGUGCGACGCCCUGGGUUCCAUCCUCAGCACCACA